CAGGGGUCACCAACACGGUGCCCACAGUAGCGGUGCACAGGUGCCCCAAGAACCACAUGAUAGCCUUCAGGCCUGUUGUAAAAAUGAAAAUUGAAUAUUGAUGAUAUCUGUUUCUCACCUUGUUAAGUCAUUGUUGAAUAUAAAUUGUGAGAAAUAAUUAACGUGAUCAGUGUCUAUGUUAUCUGU
This is a long non-coding RNA of Etheostoma cragini (Arkansas darter), 186 nucleotides long. RefSeq lists it as uncharacterized. NCBI's taxonomy places the organism in Eukaryota, Metazoa, Chordata, Actinopteri, Perciformes, Percidae. The record is from RefSeq and is a predicted model, not a curated record. The transcript is spliced from 3 exons.